Long non-coding RNA from Clupea harengus (Atlantic herring), 1308 nucleotides. NCBI's taxonomy places the organism in Eukaryota, Metazoa, Chordata, Actinopteri, Clupeiformes, Clupeidae. The record is from Ensembl.
AGAUAAUAUGAACGUGUUCACCGUUCAAAUUCAUUAUUUGUCAUGAAGUUGCGUUCAGUUCAUCGUUCUCAUAAAAAUUAACGUAUUCAAUGAACGCGUUCUUUUGAACGCGUUCAUGCACAACACUGUCCAUGGAAACGUAUAAAGCAGCUUCCACACUGCCCCGACAAACGCCAACAUUCUCCAACUAACGCCAACAUUCUAAAGUUGGCAGUUGUUGGCAGUAGUUGGUACCUGUCUUUAGAAUGUCCAGUAAACCAACUGCCAGCUCCACACUGCUCAGACUUUUUCCAACUAGCUACUUAUUUUUUCAAUUGUGUGAAAUUAUUUUAAGAUGGAUGAGGUUGAUACCUAGAUUAACGUUUGCUUGUCAAAACAUAUUUGGAAAACAAGUAAUUUGAUUAGGGUGCCUAAAUAUUUGCACAGCCUAAUUUUCACAUUUGAUUUCAUUUCACACAACUAAACACUGCUACACUCAGUGGUUAAAUUGGCUUUUGUGAGGAGGGGGAGCCCUUGUGUGCGGUCAAUGGUCAUCUUUCAAAAGCAUCUUUAUUUAUAUCGCUCUCACAUAAAUUCUGAAUUAAUGCAUUAUUACACUAAAGGGGCUCUUUUUCCACUUCGAAUGUGUAGGGGUUGAAUAGUUCUUCAGACAAACAGGCUACAAUUCAAUUUAUUAUCUUUUUAAUAUCAUUUAAACAACAUUAAGAAACCUAUUUAUUAUUAGCACAUAACAAAGCUGCAUGAAGAAUAUCAAAUGUAUGUUCAUGAGUACAUUAGUGCAGCUAUCAUUAAAACAGACAUUGGUAUGUAUACAUAUAUCAUCACUUGUUUCAGGAUCAUUGGAAUCUAUUACAGUUUUUCAAAAUUACUUUGCACCAACAACCUUAAGUUAGCCUAUGUGAACUUAAAUAUUGUGUGUAAUUCAGAGCUGAAACCACAACAUAGGGACACAUUAUACACAGUAUUUUAGCUAAACUGGUAUUGUCAAAAAUAUAUUUUUAAGCAAGUAUUGGAAAACUAAUAGUUGAGUUUGAUUAUUUCAGUUAGGCCUAUAUUGCAAAGAUCAUAGGAAUCUAGGUAACACUAAAGACCUCUUUGUUAGUCAAUGAACUAUGAAAUAGGCUAACUUAAUUGGAGACUGUAAACAGAGGCUAUAUUUUAUUUAUUUGUCAAAAUUGGGAUUAUUGGCCUGAUUAUACAGUAUGUGACAAGAUCAUUACGUGAAGAUCCCCAUCAACAUGUAAACUGGAUAAUUUGAUGAUGCUAUGCUGUCUUCAGAGUGUCAAGAGAACACGUAGGCUACAGGAU